Molecule: ribosomal RNA, 1164 nt
Filed under: Escherichia coli
Lineage: Bacteria; Pseudomonadati; Pseudomonadota; Gammaproteobacteria; Enterobacterales; Enterobacteriaceae
Description: partial 23S ribosomal RNA
Rfam family: Bacterial large subunit ribosomal RNA
Source: RNAcentral
AUGCGUUGUUGGGUAGGGGAGCGUUCUGUAAGCCUGCGAAGGUGUGCUGUGAGGCAUGCUGGAGGUAUCAGAAGUGCGAAUGCUGACAUAAGUAACGAUAAAGCGGGUGAAAAGCCCGCUCGCCGGAAGACCAAGGGUUCCUGUCCAACGUUAAUCGGGGCAGGGUGAGUCGACCCCUAAGGCGAGGCCGAAAGGCGUAGUCGAUGGGAAACAGGUUAAUAUUCCUGUACUUGGUGUUACUGCGAAGGGGGGACGGAGAAGGCUAUGUUGGCCGGGCGACGGUUGUCCCGGUUUAAGCGUGUAGGCUGGUUUUCCAGGCAAAUCCGGAAAAUCAAGGCUGAGGCGUGAUGACGAGGCACUACGGUGCUGAAGCAACAAAUGCCCUGCUUCCAGGAAAAGCCUCUAAGCAUCAGGUAACAUCAAAUCGUACCCCAAACCGACACAGGUGGUCAGGUAGAGAAUACCAAGGCGCUUGAGAGAACUCGGGUGAAGGAACUAGGCAAAAUGGUGCCGUAACUUCGGGAGAAGGCACGCUGAUAUGUAGGUGAAGUCCCUCGCGGAUGGAGCUGAAAUCAGUCGAAGAUACCAGCUGGCUGCAACUGUUUAUUAAAAACACAGCACUGUGCAAACACGAAAGUGGACGUAUACGGUGUGACGCCUGCCCGGUGCCGGAAGGUUAAUUGAUGGGGUUAGCGCAAGCGAAGCUCUUGAUCGAAGCCCCGGUAAACGGCGGCCGUAACUAUAACGGUCCUAAGGUAGCGAAAUUCCUUGUCGGGUAAGUUCCGACCUGCACGAAUGGCGUAAUGAUGGCCAGGCUGUCUCCACCCGAGACUCAGUGAAAUUGAACUCGCUGUGAAGAUGCAGUGUACCCGCGGCAAGACGGAAAGACCCCGUGAACCUUUACUAUAGCUUGACACUGAACAUUGAGCCUUGAUGUGUAGGAUAGGUGGGAGGCUUUGAAGUGUGGACGCCAGUCUGCAUGGAGCCGACCUUGAAAUACCACCCUUUAAUGUUUGAUGUUCUAACGUUGACCCGUAAUCCGGGUUGCGGACAGUGUCUGGUGGGUAGUUUGACUGGGGCGGUCUCCUCCUAAAGAGUAACGGAGGAGCACGAAGGUUGGCUAAUCCUGGUCGGACAUCAGGAGGUUAGUGCAAUGGCAUAAGC